ACACUGGUUGAUCCUGCCAGACCCGACUGCUAUAGGGAUGAGACUAAGAUAUGCAAGUUGCACGCCUGUAACCAUGUACAGGAGUAGCGAACCGCUCAGUAACACGUUGACAACCUACCCUCAGGACGGGGACAACUACGGGAAAAUUGGUGCCAUAUGAACACUUGUGGAGUUAACAAGGGAAACUAGCGAUGAAUUAUUGAUGGAGCCGAAUUUAUCUGAAGACCCAAAAAUCUUCAAAGCAUACCUAUCGGGCUUCUUCGAUGGGGAAGGUUCAUUUCUUGUCAAGGCGAGACCCGAUUCGAGAUAUCGAAUCGGAAACCAGCUCGUCUUGCGGAUAGAGAUUUCACAGAACUACGGUGAAAUACUCAAGUACCUUCAAUCAAAGAUGCAAGUAGGGAAUGUCUAUUACUUUAAAAAACGGCACAUCUACAGCUGGGUAACUCAUGACUUACCCGGCCUCAUCAAGUUUACUGAUUUACUCCGUGAGUACGUCGUUGUCAAACGCGAUAAACUCGAACGAUUUAGAACUAUCAUCGCUUUGGUUCAACAAAAACACCAUCUUAACAGAGAUGGGCUUUCCCAAAUUCUCCAUAUAUGGAAUGACACCAAUCCCGAGACUGUGGCUAAUCCCCGAUAGACGGCGCCGCCUGGAAUGGUCCGUCGUCCAAAGCAAGCUCCGCAUGUGGAGUACGCGCCCGAGGAUGGGUCAGCGGCUGAUUAGGUUGUUGGUGGGGUAACGGCCCACCAAGCCAUCGAUCAGUACCGGCCGUGAAAGCGGGAACCGGGAGAUGGGCACUGAGACAAAGGCCCAGGCCCUACGGGGCGCAGCAAUCGCGAAACCUCUGCAAUCCGGGAAACCGGGACAGGGUCAUCCCUAGUGCCAUGCUAUCGCGUGGCUUUUGCCGACAGUAGGAACGUCGGAGAAUAAGGGGAGGGCAAGGCUGGUGCCAGCCGCCGCGGUAAAACCAGCUCCUCAAGUGGUCGGGAUGAUUAUUGGGCCUAAAGCAUUCGUAGCCGGCCUCGCAAGUUCCUGGUCAAAUCCAACCGCUCAACGGUUGGGCUGCUGGGAAUACUACAAGGCUUGGGAGCGGGAGAGGCCGAGGGUACUCCUAGGGUAGGGGUGAAAUCCUGUGAUCCUAGGGGGACCACCAGAAGAUGAGCAACCACUGCCAUCUGGUGAAUGGCGUAGG
RNAcentral lists this ribosomal RNA (1193 nucleotides) under Candidatus Hermodarchaeota archaeon. Its description in RNAcentral is "bacterial SSU rRNA". It matches the Rfam family "Archaeal small subunit ribosomal RNA", at positions 1 to 703 of the family's 1478-position model. Lineage: Archaea; Promethearchaeati; Candidatus Hermodarchaeota. The record is from RNAcentral.